This 378-nucleotide unclassified non-coding RNA is filed under the name plant metagenome. RNAcentral's name for it is "partial contains 5.8S ribosomal RNA, internal transcribed spacer 2, and large subunit ribosomal RNA". The stretch from base 1 to 105 matches the Rfam family "5.8S ribosomal RNA", at positions 50 to 154 of the family's 154-position model. The record is from RNAcentral.
GAAAUGCGAUAAGUAAUGUGAAUUGCAGAAUUCAGUGAAUCAUCGAAUCUUUGAACGCACCUUGCGCUCCUUGGUAUUCCUUGGAGCAUGCCUGUUUGAGUAUCAUGAAAUCUUCAAAGUAAAUCUUUUGUUAACUCAAUUGGUUUCUACUUUGGUAUUGGAGGUCUUUGCAGCUUCACACCUGCUCCUCUUUGUUCAUUAGCUGGAUCUCAGUGUUAUGCUUGGUUCCACUCGGCGUGAUAAGUUAUCUAUCGCUGAGGACACUGUAAAAGGUGGCAAAGGUAAAUGCAGAUGAACCGCUUCUAAUAAUCCAUUGACUUGGACAAUACUUUUAUGAUCUGAUCUCAAAUCAGGUAGGACUACCCGCUGAACUUAAGC